Megalops cyprinoides (Indo-Pacific tarpon) is the source of this 73-nucleotide non-coding RNA. The record is from the annotation of a RefSeq genome assembly. NCBI's taxonomy places the organism in Eukaryota, Metazoa, Chordata, Actinopteri, Elopiformes, Megalopidae.
CACUCAGUAGCUUAAUUGCCCAAAGCAUCGGUCUUGUAAUCCGAAGACUGGAGGCUAAAAUCCUCCCUAGUGC